GCUCAGAAACUCAAAGGAAGUUGACGGGGCCCGGCACAAGCGGUGGAGUAUGUGGUUUAAUUCGAUGCAACGCGAAGAACCUUACCUGGUCUUGACAUCCCGGAGACCCUUAGGAAACUAGGGGGUGCUUCCAUCUGGAAGAAUCUGGAGACAGGUGCUGCAUGGCUGUCGUCAGCUCGUGUCGUGAGAUGUUGGGUUAAGUCCCGCAACGAGCGCAACCCUUGCCUUUAGUUGCCAGCAGUUCGGCUGGGCACUCUAAAGGGACUGCCGGUGUUAAACCGGAGGAAGGUGGGGAUGACGUCAAGUCCUCAUGGCCUUUAUGACCAGGGCUACACACGUACUACAAUGGCCGAUACAAAGGGCAGCGACACUGCGAGGUGAAGCCAAUCCCGUAAAAUCGGUCUCAGUCCGGAUUGGAGUCUGCAACUCGACUCCAUGAAGUUGGAAUCGCUAGUAAUCGUGGAUCAGCAUGCCACGGUGAAUACGUUCCCGGGCCUU
Molecule: ribosomal RNA, 498 nt
Filed under: uncultured Desulfobulbus sp.
Lineage: Bacteria; Pseudomonadati; Thermodesulfobacteriota; Desulfobulbia; Desulfobulbales; Desulfobulbaceae
Description: bacterial SSU rRNA
Rfam family: Bacterial small subunit ribosomal RNA
Source: RNAcentral